Molecule: ribosomal RNA, 441 nt
Filed under: uncultured bacterium
Lineage: Bacteria
Description: partial 16S ribosomal RNA
Rfam family: Bacterial small subunit ribosomal RNA
Source: RNAcentral
CCUACGGGGAGGCAGCAGUAGGGAAUAUUGCUCAAUGGGGGAAACCCUGAAGCAGCAACGCCGCGUGGAGGAUGAGGGUUUUCGGAUUGUAAACUCCUUUUGUUAGAGAAGAUAAUGACGGUAUCUAACGCAUAAGCACCGGCUAACUCAGUGCCCGCAGCCGCGGUAAUACGGAGGGUGCAAGCGUUAAUCGGAAUCACUGGGGGUAAAGAGCGCGUAGGCGGGAUAGCAAGUCAGAUGUGAAAUCCUAUGGCUUAACCAUAGAACUGCAUUUGAACCUGUGAGUCUAGAGUAUGGGAGAGGUAGGUGGAAUUGUUGGUGUAGGGGUAAAAUCCAUAGAGAUCGAGAGGAAUACUCAUUGCGAAGGCGACCUGCUAGAACAUAACUGACGCUGAUGCGCGAAAGCGUGGGUAUCAAACAGGAUUAGAUACCCGUGUAGUC